UACGUAGGGGGCUAGCGUUGUCCGGAAUCAUUGGGCGUAAAGCGCGCGUAGGCGGCCCGGUAAGUCCGCUGUAAAAGUCAAAGGCUCAACCUUUGAAUGUCAGUGGAUACUGCCGGGCUAGAGUCCGGAAGAGGCGAGUGGAACUCCUGGUGUAGCGGUGGAAUGCGCAGAUAUCAGGAGGAACACCUAUUGCGAAGGCAGCUCGCUGGGACGUAACUGACGCUGAGACGCGAAAGCGUGGGGAGCAAACAGG
This 253-nucleotide ribosomal RNA is filed under the name uncultured bacterium. Its description in RNAcentral is "partial 16S ribosomal RNA". It matches the Rfam family "Bacterial small subunit ribosomal RNA", at positions 524 to 776 of the family's 1533-position model. The record is from RNAcentral.